Molecule: long non-coding RNA, 684 nt
Filed under: Capra hircus (goat)
Lineage: Eukaryota; Metazoa; Chordata; Mammalia; Artiodactyla; Bovidae
Description: lncRNA (ENSCHIG00000001340.1)
Source: RNAcentral
UCGGGUGCCCGGCUCUGGCGGGGCGGGAGGGGCUGGGCGGGUCUUGCGCCAGGGACGCCCACCCGUCCGCCCGCCGGGGCUGGGCGAGGCGUUGCGAUCUGGCACUGCUAGCGGGCAGAGGCGGUGAGCGGGGGGAGGACGGCUGCGGCUCCGGCCGGUCCCCUCGCUUGUAGGCACUCGCCUCCCGGGACAGCCACCGCAGGCCUCUCGCUGCCCUCUGAGGGGAAGGGAGGAACCAAAUAGGUGGCAGAGAGACGCAGUGUGCUCUUCCGCCGCCCAAUCCCGCUGACGGUGCGCGGACCCUCCGCGCUCUUGUUCCCUUCCGCAGUCCGCGCCCUGAGCCGGGCGCCAGGGAGCUGUCCAUCCCAUUGGUUCUGAAUCAGGCGCUACGGAAACGCUCCAGGUGUGGUCACCAAGAUUUUCAUCUGCCCUCACAUCUAUGCGCUCAUCAAUGAAGAAGCUCAAUCAUUUUCAACAGAAAACUUCAAAAUGACAUCUAGCUUUGUUUUGAGUCUCUGGAUUUCUUAUUUUGGUUCUGUCAGAAUCUUGCUUCAGACCCCAUGGGGGAUGUUCCUCACAACUGCAGGUGGAGGAAGCAAGGGUUGUGUUAAUUAUUCCUCAGACAAUGUGUCCUUCAAGAAACUAGAAGAAGUUAGUGAGAAAAAUGAGAAACAGAGAAUCUAA